GGGAAUCUUGGACAAUGGGCGCAAGCCUGAUCCAGCCAUGCCGCGUGAGUGAUGAAGGCCUUAGGGUCGUAAAGCUCUUUCGCCUGUGAUGAUAAUGACAGUAGCAGGUAAAGAAACCCCGGCUAACUCCGUGCCAGCAGCCGCGGUAAUACGGAGGGGGUUAGCGUUGUUCGGAAUUACUGGGCGUAAAGCGCGCGUAGGCGGACUAGUCAGUCAGGGGUGAAAUCCCGGGGCUCAACCCCGGAACUGCCUUUGAUACUGCUAGUCUAGAGUUCGAGAGAGGUGAGUGGAAUUCCGAGUGUAGAGGUGAAAUUCGUAGAUAUUCGGAGGAACACCAGUGGCGAAGGCGGCUCACUGGCUCGAUACUGACGCUGAGGUGCGAAAGUGUGGGGAGCAAACAGGAUUAGAUACCCUGGUAGUCCACACCGUAAACGAUGAAUGCCAGUCGUCGGGUAGCAUGCUAUUCGGUGACACACCUAACGGAUUAAGCAU
Molecule: ribosomal RNA, 492 nt
Filed under: uncultured bacterium
Lineage: Bacteria
Description: bacterial SSU rRNA
Rfam family: Bacterial small subunit ribosomal RNA
Source: RNAcentral